AGAUGGUCUGGAAUACCUGGGCCAUCGGUGACGGCUGCCUCCCUGGGUCACACUGGAGAGGCGGGACUGGAAGCGCCCUGUGGCUUCAGAUGCUGGAUGCUGCAGUGUGCAGAUGCGUCCCAUGGCGCCAUGGCGACGGCCAGAGGGCAGUGCGCCUGCGCCUGGCACUUUGCCCCGGAAGUGCACUCGCACGCACGCACGCGUGGCCCUGACUGCCCCGCGGGCGCUCAGGUGGGAGUCAGCAUGGCGUCCGCUGCUGCCCGAGAGCCUGCGCGAGCCGUGAGGAGAGGAGCCGUCCACUGAAACCAAAAGCUAUGUGACUGACCUGUUGCAUGUAACAAAAGUUCCAGAGGUAGCAUGGGUUUCAGAUAUAGAAUCCACGGAGUGCAUAGCUCUCUGAUCCUGUGUGCUUGAGCGUUACUGGUCAGACGUUCCCACUGCCAGCUGCUAGUCAGAUCACUGCUGAUCUGCGGUCUUCUGUGAGUAGAGGCUCCCCAAGAGUGGAGAGGGUCCCCUCAUGGUUUACCUACAUCUCAAAAUGAAACUGGCUUUCGGAGUUCUGGCUGGGGUAUGAGAAUCUUGGACUGAGUGGUUGGUCACUUUAUGGUGCGAUAGGCCCUGCACCUCUUUCUUUGCUCAACCUGCAGGGAAUUGUAGUCGUCUGUGCCUAGCAUGGUUUGCCCACGGCAAGAUCUUCUUGAAGUAUCCAAAGAGUGUUCUCACUCUUGGGGUUGUGAUAAUUAAAUUUUUUUUUUCAAAGAAAGCAUUGUCUCUAGUGGGUGUCUAGCUUUUCUGCCAUUUCAUGGAAUUUGUCAAAUGAGUGGCAAAUUCUGUAGUCUGAUGGAAUUUAUUUGCUUGUUUAUGAAUCAGUCCUGAAAAAUGUGAAAUUUAUCAUUUAGUCUAGUAAAGCGCAGAGUUAUGAUUUUUCUCCUUGAUAGUACUCGAGUUUUCACUAUUUGUGUAAAAACAACUUUGGGGCUUAUAAAUUAUAAUUGCUCAGGAUGUAAUAGUUUGACAGGUUUAAUAGAUUUGUUUUCCUUCAUUAAACUUUAUCAUAUCAGUUAGGGAAACAUUCAUGGAGAAAGUAACUGUAGCGCGGUUUGAAACAAAGUAACUGUAACAGUUUGAAAGAAAGUAACUGCGCAAGCCUGCAGCUUGAAGGAAAAGUAAAGUAGUAGCCACCCUAGCUGGUAAGAUUUGAAAGUGGAUGGCCUAACUAGACUGCCUAACCACAAACUGUCGUUGCCAUGACGACGGGACCCUGGGAGGUCGGAAUGUGGGCGGGGCUAGCCUCUAGAAACUGUAUAUCAGGGGACCCUCAGACACUGUAAACCAGAGGUUGCUCAGCCUCUCUCCCCGGCCCGUAGUGCCUAGUGCCCGCGGGGAGAAGCUCCUGGUCCGUAGUGCCUAGUGCCCCCAGGAGUAGGCUUGAGCGAUCUCUCCUCCUACUCGCCUAGAGUAUCAAUAAAGUGUGUUUAGCUUGUCCUUCCUCAGUCUCCUCGACUCUUCCUUCACCACCUGGCCAGUUCCCGAAGGAGGAGAUCCUGACAGCUGGUGCCCGAACAGGGACUUGAAGUCAGACGGUGAGGAGACGAGCCCUUGAGGAAUCGUCAAAAGGGUGGGCAAGUGGGAGAACCAGACCCUGAGCCCGAGAGGCACGCCAUGUGGCCCCGGUACAAGUCCUUCUCUGACUGUGAGCCGGAUGACAGCCACCUGAGCGUCGUCACCCUGGAGGAGGCCCCCUUCUUCAUCAUGGAAGACAUCGACCAGCUGACCGAGACGUGUGUGCGGAACACGGUGCCGUGUUGGAAGUUCGUCAAAAUCAAGAGGAGGGAGUAAAGCAUUGUUGGUCGGUGCACAUGGUGCUUAACGUGGAAUCUGGAGGUGGAGAUGGUGUUUUCUUACUUACAUAGUUUAUGAUUUCCAACUAUCGCCAAGAGCUUUGUGGAGUUCUUUGUUGGAACAUAUGCUGAGCCCUGGUUCUAAGCCUUAGAACAAGGAGGUGAGCAGCCAAGAGCAAUACCUGCAGGAAAGGCCGGGCUGCUGGUGUCGGAGGAGUGGCAAUGGAUUCAACAGGACCCUCAGGUUUGACCAUCCUCUCCUGGUGAGUCUUCUUGAAAUGUUUGUGCGUAUCAUAUGCCGGCCCUGGCCACAGACAGGAGACACUUGGGCCUUCAGGAGCCAGGGGGAAGGAAGAAAAAAUUGUGCAUUAUAUUGUAUUUUAUAAAUUGAAUAUUACAUAUUGUAUUAUAAAUUUUUAUUACAGAGUAUAACUUUCAUACCAUAGGUUCUAAAUAGAUUUAAAUUGUAUAUUGUAAAACAUAUAUUUGCCUGGAGGUAUCACAUAUAGUUCCAGAAGGAAUGGCCUGCCUGGCUGAAUUCUCAUGCCAGGGUGGGGGAAACAGCAGGUGAGUCAUCAUCUCCUGGGUGGGCGAUUUAGAUGCCCAGCGACUCUGGUAAUUUCCAGGUUUCUUGUGUUGUUUUCUGAAUUUAUAGUUCUACUCAGUGGACAGGAGCUGGGAAGAUGGAUCCAGGCAUCUAGGAAGGAAGUUCCCGCUCACAGGCUUUGAUUCCUGUUUUUCCCUAAUUUGCUAAGAUAGUUUAUUCCAGUUCACGUUGAAGGUUCUCCAACACACAGCAGUAAUAGCAUUGACUGGGAAACCCAAAAAGAUGGCUGUAUAUUGUUGUCAUUGCCCCACUGGAUUCUAAUUCUUCCUCUGUGAUAACCAGUGAUUCCCCUAAUUUUAUGAAAAAGUUCCUGAGGAAUACAUUGUUCUAUUGUGUUAAUGAAUCGUGGUUAUACUCUGGCCUCAGAAUCAGCCCUUAGGGCAUUCGGAUCCAGCUGAAAAGCCCAUGAGAGUAUUUCAGGCAUGGAAAGCCAAGACACUCUGGCAAAAAAAAAUGACCUAAAUGAAAGAUCUCCGCGAGUGAGAUCCCAGUGGAAAGAACAGGUCAUCAAAGAAGGAGGUACCUUUCUCUGAAGGGAGGAGAGAACUUCCACUUUGACUAUGACCUUGUCUAAAUAUGAUAAGAGUCAGUGAACUCAAAAGGCUUCCAUAGCCUUGGCAACUCAUGACAAGAGCCUAGGGAGAUUACUGAUGCCAUAAACAAGAGUGUCGAUUUGUUAAGUCAACAACAAGAGUCACUGUGCACUUACUCCUUAUGUAGGAUCUCUGUCCUUAAAGUGCUGUACAUUGUGAUUUAAUGCUAUAACUAGUACUCAAACAGUAUUUUUCACUUUGUGUUUCUAUGAGGGUGCAGACUGUUGAAAUCAUUGCUUAAUGUAUGCUAAACUGAUCUUCUGUAUAUAAGAGAAAGGAAAAUGAAUCUUGAUGUAAAUGGAAGCGGAGAAGGAGCAGGAAAGGGGAGAUUUGCAGGUGGGAGGGAAGUUAUGGGAGGGGAAGCCAUUGUAAUCCAUAAGCUGUACUUUGGAAAUUUAUAUUCAUUAAAUAAAAGUUUUUUAAAAAAGCAAAAGUACAGUCACGUGGCAUAAAACAAUAUUUGACCAACAAAAGACCAUAUAUAGAAUGGUUGCUGUAUCACAUAGCCUUGGCGUGUACCAGGUUAAGCAAUGUAAGUCUGUAUAAGUACAUUCUAUGAAAUGUUCACAUUAUGACAAUACUGCCUAGUGAUGCAUUUCUCAAAAUGUCUAUCAUUAAAGCAGCCCAUAACUGUAUAAGAUUGUCAGUGUCCUGAGGCUGCAUGCAAUAUGAUUUUGAUCUUAAUUUUUCUUACACAUACUCCUACCUCUACCCAUCUUCCCAGGCCUUCCUCAAAUACCGCUGCUUCCUAGAAUCCCAACUCAAUCAUUUUAUUUAUUUAUUUAUUUAUUUUAAUUUCUUUUUUUUAUUUAAUGAGCAUAAAUUUCCAAAGUACAGCUUAUGGAUUACAAUAGCUUCCUCCCCCCCGUAACUUCCCUCCCACCCACAACGCUCCCCUCUCCCACUCCCUCUCCCCUUCCCCUCACAUCAAGAUUAAUUUUCAAUUAUCUUUAUAUACAGAAGAUCAAUUUAGCAUAUAUUAAGUAAAGAUUUCCACAUUUUGCUCCCACACAGAAACACAAAGUGUAAAAUACUGUUUGAGUACUAGUUAUAGCAUUAAUUAAACACCUAAGAGUAAUUGUGUAUUAAUUACAGAGUUCAUCCAAUAGUUUUAAGUAGAAUAUAAAAUGCAAUUUUUGUAUUGUUGUGGCUUCCCCCCCUAACCUCCCUCCCUCCCGUGGCCCUCCCCUCUCCCACUCCCUCUCCCAUCCUGCCCUUCAUCACGUUUCAUUUUCAAUUACCUUCAUAUACUGAAGAUCAACUUAGUAUAUACUGAGCAGGGAUUUCAACAGGCUGCACUCACACAACCGAACCAGGUAUAGGGUAUUGUUCGACUAGUAGUGUUGUUUUUGAGUUUCAUAGUUAAACACAUUAAGGACAGAGAUCCUACGUGGGGAGCAUGAACCCAGUGACUUCCGUUGUUGAUUUAACAAUUUGCACUCUUAUUUAUGAUGUCAGCAAUCACCCGAGACUGUUGCUAUGAGCUGUCUGGGCUAUGGAAGCCCCUUGAGUUCACCGACUCUGAAUUUGUUUAGUCAAGGCCGUAUCACGGUGGAGGUUCCUUCCUCCCUUCAGAGAAAGGCGCCUCUCUCGUUGAUGGCCUGAUCCUUCUGCUGGGGUCUUGUUCACCAAGAUCUUUCAUUUAGAUUGUUUUUUGCCACCGUGUCAUGUCUUUCCAUGCCUGUGAGACUCUCAUGGACCUCUUAGUUGGAUCUGAAUGUCCCAAGGGUUGAUUCUGAGGCAGGAGUGCUGUUUUGGGCAUUUGCCAUUCUAUGAGUCUGCUGUGUGUCCUGCUUCCCCCCGCAGGAUCAUUCUCUCCCUUUUGAUUCUAUCCUUCAUUAUUUGCUUACACUGGUCUUAUUUGUGUAAUCUCUUCGACACUAUUCUAUCUUUUGGAUUGGUUGUGUAUUUAUACUUAUCACUUUACCAAGUGUGCUGGCAUUGGUACCUGCCUCCUUGGUAAGGUUGAGCUGAAAUCCCCUGGCACAUUUCUAGUUCCACCAUUGGAGGUAGGUCUGAGUGAGUAUGUGUCAUCCUAUAUAUCUCCUCCCUCUCUUAUUCCCACUCCUAUGUUUCACAGAGAUCAAUUUUCUGUUAAUUUUUAAACGCUUAAGAAUGGUUGUGCAUUGAUUACAGAGUUCAACCAGUGGUCUUGUGUAGAGCAAACUGAGCAACAACAACAACAAAAAUACUAAAGGAACAAAAUAGUAAGUUGUUCCUCAACAGUCUAGACAAGGGCUGCUCAUGUCAUUGUCUCUCAUAGUGUCCAUUUCACUUCAAUGGGUAUCAUUUUAGAUGCUCGUUUAGUUGCCAUCGAUCAGGGAGAACAUAUGAUAUUUGUCCCUUCUGGACUGGCUUAUUUCACUCAGCAUGAUGUUUUCCAGCUUCCUACAUUUUGUUGUAAAUGCCCGGAUUUCAUUGUUUUCUACUGCUGUAUAGUGUUCCAUAGAGUACAUUUCCCAUAGUUUCUUUAUACAGUCAUCCAUUGAUGGACAUUUAGGUUGAUUCCAUGUCUUAGCUAUUGUGAAUUGAGCUGCAACAAAUAUUGAGGUGCAAAUGACUUUUUUCUCCCCUUUAAUUCCAUUUGGGUAUAUUCCAAGGAGUGGGAUGGCUGGGUCCUGUGGUAGUGCUUUAUUCAGGUUUCUGAGGAUUCUCCAGACUGUCUUCCAUAGUGGCUUUACCAGUUUGCAUUCCCACCAACAGUGGAUUAGUGUCCCUUUUUCUCCACAUCCUCACCAGCAUCUGUUGUUGGUUGAUUUCUGUACGUAAGCCAAUCUAACCGGAGUGAGGUGGAAUCUCAUUGUGAUUUUGAUCUGCAUUUCCCUGAUGGCUAGGGAUCCUGAGCAUUUUUUCAUGUGUCUGUUGGCCAUUUGGAUUUACUCUUUUGAAAAAUGUCUGUUAAGGUCCUUGGCCCAUUUUUUUUACUGGGUUGUUUGUUUUGAUUCUGUGGUGUUUUUUGAUCAUUGUGUAGAUUCUAGUUGUUAAUCCUUUAUCUGUUGUGUAGUUUGCGAAUAACGUCUCCCAUUCUGUUGGUUGCCUCUUCGCUUUCCUGACUGUUUCCUUUGCUGUUAAGAAACUCUUCAAUUUGAGGUAAUCCCAUUUGUUUAUUUUAUCUUUGAUUACCUGUGCCUGUGGGGUCUUCUCCAGGAAUUCUUCGCCUAUUCCGAUAUCUUGAAGGGUUUCCCCUAUGCUCUCAAUUAGUUUCAUGGUGUCGUGGCGCAUCUCUAGUUCUUUGAUCCAUGUUGAGUGGAUUUUUGUAUAAGGUGUAAGGUAGGGGUCUUGCUUCAUACUGCGACAUGUGGACAUCCAGUUUUCCCAGCACCAUUUGUUGAAGAGGCUGUCCUUGUUCCAGGGGUUGGUUUUAGGUCCUUUGUCGAAUAUGAGUUGGUUAUAGAUGUUUGGAUUGAUCUCCAGUGUUUCUAUUCUGUUCCAUUGGUCUAUCCAUCUGUUUUUGUACCAGUACCAGGCUGUUUUGGUUAUAACUGCCCUGUAGUAUGCCUUGAAGUCUGGAAUUGUGAUGCCUCCGGCCUUGUUUUCAUUGUUAAGGAUUGCUUUAGCUAUUCUGGGUCUCCUGUUUCUCCAUAUGAAUUUCAGCAUCAUUUUUUCUAGGUCUUUGAAGAAUGACUUUGGUAUUUUGAUUGGUAUUGCAUUGAACUUGUAAAUUGCUUUUGGGAGAAUGGACAUUUUGAUGAUAUUGAUUCUUCCAAUCCAUGAGCAUGGCAGGUUUUUCCAUUUUUUUGUGUCGUCUUCUAUUUCUUUAGUGUUUUGUAAUUUUCAUCAUAGAGGUCUUUGACCUCGUUGGUUAAAUUUAUUCCAAGGUACUUUAUUGUUUUUGUGGCUAUCGUGAAUGGGGUUGAUCUUAGUAGUUCUUCCUCGUCCCUGGCAUUGUCUGUGUAUACAAAGGCUGUUGAUUUCUGAGUGUUGACUUUGUAUCCUGCUACUUUACCAAACUCUUCUAUGAGUUCCAAUAGUCUCUUAUAGGAGUUUAUCAGGUCCCCUAUAUAUAGUAUCAUGUCAUCUGCAAAUAGGGAUAGUUUAACUUCCUCCUUUCCCAUUUGUGUCCCUUUAAUUUCUUUUUCUUGCCUGAUGGCUCUGGCUAACACUUCUAGGACUAUAUUGAAUAGCAAUGGUGAGAGUGGGCAUCCCUGUCUGGUGCCGGUUUUCAAUGGAAAUGCCUCCAACUUUUCCCCAUUCAAUAUGAUGCUGGCCUUUGGUUUAUCAUAGACUGCCUUAAUUGUGUUGAGGAAUGUUCCUUCUAUACCCAAUUUGCUUAGGGUUUUCAUCAUGAAAGGGUGUUGUAUUUUGUCAAAUGCUUUCUCUGCAUCUAUUGAGAUAACCAUAUGAUUUUUGUUUCUCAAUUUAUUAAGGUGAUGUAUUACAUUGAUUGACUUUCGAAUAUUGAACCAUCCCUGCAUACCAGGGAUAAAUCCCACUUGGUCCGGGUGAAUGAUCUUUCUGAUGUAUAGUUGGAUUCGGUUUACCAGAAUUUUGUUGAGUAUUUUUGCAUGUAUGUUCAUCAGGGAGAUAGGUCUGUAGUUUUCUUUGUCUGUUGUGUCUUUUCCGGGCUUAGGAAUUAAGGUGAUAUUGGCUUCGUAGAAAGAAUUUGGAAGGAUUCCCUCUCUUUCAAUUGUUUUAAACAAUUUGAGAAGAACUGGGGUUGGUUGUUCUCUAAAUGUCUGGUAAAAUUUGGCAGUGAAGCCAUCCGGUCCUGGGCUCUUCUUUUUCGGUAAUGCGUUUAUUACCAAUUCAAUUUCUUCCAUGGUUAUGGGUCUGUUUAGAUUUUCUGUAUUUUCACAGCUCAGUUUAGGAAGGUUGUAUUUGUUCAGGAAUGUAUCCAUUUCUUCCAGGUUCCCCAAUUUGUUAGCAUACAUCUCUUUGUAGUAGUUUCUGAUGAUUCUCUUUAUUUCUGUUGUGUCUGUUGUUACAUUUCCAUUACUAUCUUUGAUUUUACAGAUUUGGGUCUUCUCUCUCCUUUUUUUGGUUAGUUGGGCCAAUGGUGUGUCGAUUUUGUUUUAUUUUUUCAAAGAACCAGCUCCUGGUUUUGUUGAUCUUUUGUAUUGGUUUUUUUUUUUUUUGGUUUCAAUUCUGUUUAUUUCUUCUCUGAUCUUUAGUAUUUCUUUCCUCCUUCUGGAUUUGGGCUUGAUUUGCUGCUGUUUUUCUAAAUCCUUGAGGUGCAUGGAGAGUUCAUUUGUUUGGUUCCUUUCCAGCUUCUUGAUGUAGGCACUAAUUGCUAUAAACUUUCCUCUUAGCACUGCUUUUGCUGUGUCCCACAGGUUUUGAUAGGUUGUGUUAUCAUUUUCAUUUGUUUCUAGAAAUCUUUUGAUUUCUCUUUUAAUUUCUUCGAUGACCCACUGUUCAUUUAGGAUCAUGUUGUCCAUUCUCCAUAUAUUUGCAUAUGCUGUAGAGAUUCUUGGGUUGUUGAUUUCGAGUUUCACUGCGCUAUGGUCUGAGAAGCUGCAUGGUAUAGUUUCAAUUUUUUUGAAUUUGUUGAGGCUCCCUUUAUGGCCAAGCAUAUGGUCAAUGCUAGAGAAUGUUCCAUGUACUGGGGAGAAAUACGUGAACUCUGUGUCUGUGGGGUGGAAGGUUCUGAAGAUAUCUAUUAGGUCUAUUUGGUCUAUGGCACCAAUUAGCUCAGUUGUUUCCUUAUUGAAUUUCUGUCUGGUAGAUCUGUCCAUUGGUGAGAGUGGGGUGUUGAAGUCCCCUGUUACUAUUGUAUUUGAGUCUGUAUCUCCCUUUAAAUCCUUUAGUAAUUCUUUCAGGUAGCCAGGCGCCCUGUAUAUAGGUGCGUAUACAUUUAUAAUAGUAAUGUCUUCCUGUUGGAUAGAUCCUUUAAUCAUUAUAUAGUGCCCUUCUCUGUCUUUUUUAAUAGUUUUUAUGUUAAAGUCUAUUUUGUCUGAUAUUAGGAUGGCCACACAAGCUCUUUUUUGAUUUCCAUUAGCUUGAAGUAUCUUUUUCCAUCCUUUCACUUUCAGUCUGUGUGCAUCUUUGCUGAUUAGGUGUGUCUCCUGAAGGCAGCAUAUAGUUGGAUUCUCUUUCUUUAUCCAAUCAGCUAGUCUAUGUCUCUUUGUCAUGGAAUUAAGACCAUUCACAUUCAAUGUGAUUACUGUUAAGUACUGUCUUUUCCCCUUCAUGUUUCCUGAAACGAGCUGCUUAUGUAUUUUGAACU
Molecule: non-coding RNA, 9207 nt
Organism: Oryctolagus cuniculus (rabbit)
Lineage: Eukaryota; Metazoa; Chordata; Mammalia; Lagomorpha; Leporidae
Source: RefSeq, a predicted model, not a curated record